This 253-nucleotide ribosomal RNA is filed under the name uncultured bacterium. RNAcentral's name for it is "partial 16S ribosomal RNA". It matches the Rfam family "Bacterial small subunit ribosomal RNA", at positions 524 to 776 of the family's 1533-position model. The record is from RNAcentral.
UACGUAGGGACCAAGCGUUGUUCGGAUUUACUGGGCGUAAAGGGCGCGUAGGCGGCAAUUCAAGUCAUCUGUGAAAUCUCCAGGCUUAACUCGGAACGGUCAGAUGAUACUGCUUUGCUCGAGUGCGGAAGGGGCAAUCGGAAUUCUUGGUGUAGCGGUGAAAUGCGUAGAUAUCAAGAGGAACACCUGAGGUGAAGACGGGUUGCUGGGCCGACACUGACGCUGAAGCGCGAAAGCCAGGGGAGCAAACGGG